AGCUCCAAUAGCGUAUAUUAAAGUUGUUGUGGUUAAAAAGCUCGUAGUUGGAUCUCGGCAGUCUGAGGUUGGUUUACUUGCUAGUACUACUGCCCUAUAGACUGUAGUUUUGCCAGAGGUGCCCGGGUGCUCUUAAUCGAGUGUCCUGGUAUGCUGGCAGGUUUACUUUGAAAAAAUUAGAGUGCUCAAAGCAGGCUUUUACGCCUGAAUAUUCGUGCAUGGAAUAAUAGAAUAGGAAGUCGUUUCUAUUUUGUUGGUUUUCGGAAAUCGACUUAAUGAUUAAUAGGGACAGUCGGGGGCAUUUGUAUUCAAACGACAGAGGUGAAAUUCUUGGACCGUUUGAAGACAAACUACUGCGAAAGCAUUUGCCAAGAAUGUUUUCA
RNAcentral lists this ribosomal RNA (383 nucleotides) under uncultured eukaryote. Its description in RNAcentral is "SSU rRNA". It matches the Rfam family "Eukaryotic small subunit ribosomal RNA", at positions 587 to 972 of the family's 1831-position model. The record is from RNAcentral.